GCGUCAUUACACCACUCAAGCCUCGCUUGGUAUUGGGCGAAGGGGCACUACCGCCCCCCGCCCCAAUGUCUCCGGCUGGACCGUCCGAAUCUCAGCGUUGUGGCAAAACAAAUUCGCUGGCGGGACGGGCGGACUACGCCGUUUAAAACACCCCAUCACAGGUUGACCUCGGAUCAGGUAGGGAUACCCGCUGAACUUAA
This 200-nucleotide unclassified non-coding RNA is filed under the name soil metagenome. RNAcentral describes it as "partial contains internal transcribed spacer 2 and large subunit ribosomal RNA". The record is from RNAcentral.